GUGGACGUGAUGACCUGUUUUUUCUUGAGUAUCAGUGAUGUUUUUGUAUUCAUACUGUCUGAUCCAC
Small nucleolar RNA from Paramormyrops kingsleyae, 67 nucleotides. Lineage: Eukaryota; Metazoa; Chordata; Actinopteri; Osteoglossiformes; Mormyridae. The record is from Ensembl.